GGGCGGGCCGGGUAAGGUCCAGCCGUAUCCGCCUCCUUCAUGUCCCGCUGUGGGAGGGGCUCUGGAGCGCCGGGACUGUGAGAUGGCCAAUGACGGUCUGACCCGUUGGGCCGGGCCAGGUCGCGGACAACGUCGACCGUUUGUUUAAGAAGCGUGGACUCUUGUCCUGAGUGCACCGAGGCUUUCAGCCUGCGGGACAGUGGUGCGAUUUGCAUUAGAGAAAGGGAGAUGCCAUGUGCUGGCCCAGCACUCCAACAGGGGCCUGACCUCUAGGAACGGGACACUGGAGGAAGCCUAGACAUCUGAACAAAUCAAGUCAUCCAGAUCCACGGUCAGCUCCUGCCCCGACUUGGCCUUCCUCCUGCUGGGCUGGCCCACGGACCUCGGGAACCUGCCCUGGCUGUGGGUGACCUGCAGCCUAUCUCCCAGGACUAUGGAAGCCCCAUGCAGGAACAUGGUUCUGACACUUUGGGGAUUAUACCCUAAGCUUAAAGGACUGGAAAAGCCCCUGAAGUCCCGAGACCACAACCCUCCACCUUCUAAAGAUAAGACAAGUCACUGAAGGUCUCAGAACUGUGGCCCAUUCACCCCUUCCCUCAAGACAAGAGUGUGGCCAAGCAUCAAUCUCACCCCCAGAGACCAGACGGUGUCCAGGUCUUGGGCAGACGAAACCUGCUCCUUGGGGAUGGUCUUCCUGGCUGUGCUUCCAAAGGGCUGGCCUGCAAUCAGCUGGUUUUCACUUGAUCCUUUCGGGGUUUGCAUUAUAUCUGACUGAAGGAAUGAACUGGGAGAGAACAGCAGAGCCGCAGCGGAAUGUGGAAAGGCCCACGUCCAGACUGUUCCCAUUCUGAUUUAAAAGCCUGAUGAAGGAACAGCUGAACUCAGAGAAACAGCAGAGGAAAGGUCCUGUGAGGGUACAGUGAGAAGAUGGCCAUCUACCAGCCAGGAGGAAAGGCCUAACAAGAAACCAACUCUGCUGGCACCUUGAUCGUGAACUCCCGCCCUCUAGAACUGUGAGAAAAUAAACGUCUGUUUAAGCCACCUGGUCUGUGGUAUUUUGUUAUGGAAGCCCGAGCAGACCAAUAUGCCUACUAAGUAAGUACAAGUUCUAGAUAUCCAAGUGUUUUCUUUAUGUCAUCUCCUCGACAAAUUAAAUAUUUCAAUGUCCACAUUCUCAGAAAGAAAAGGAGUCAGUGUUUUAAUGGAUCCUGUUUAAUCUUUACUUCCCUGUAUCCUUAUUUCCGUGAAUGUGACUUCACAAAUGGAGUCAUCCUAUAUCCUACUCCCAAGGCACAAUCUGCUAAAAGCAAGAAAAAGGCUUUGCGCUGCUAAUUCACCCUUUUCUGCUCAGCAUUUGGCUCUAAACUGUAACCUGAG
RNAcentral lists this long non-coding RNA (1377 nucleotides) under Homo sapiens (human). RNAcentral describes it as "HSALNT0223465". Lineage: Eukaryota; Metazoa; Chordata; Mammalia; Primates; Hominidae. The record is from RNAcentral.